RNAcentral lists this ribosomal RNA (497 nucleotides) under uncultured bacterium. RNAcentral's name for it is "partial 16S ribosomal RNA". It matches the Rfam family "Bacterial small subunit ribosomal RNA", at positions 28 to 507 of the family's 1533-position model. The record is from RNAcentral.
GACGAACGCUGGCGGCGUGCCUAAUACAUGCAAGUAGAACGCUGAAGAGAGGAGCUUGCUCUUCUUGGAUGAGUUGCGAACGGGUGAGUAACGCGUAGGUAACCUGCCUUGUAGCGGGGGAUAACUAUUGGAAACGAUAGCUAAUACCGCAUAACAAUAGGUGACACAUGUCAUUUAUUUGAAAGGGGCAAUUGCUCCACUACAAGAUGGACCUGCGUUGUAUUAGCUAGUAGGUGAGGUAACGGCUCACCUAGGCGACGAUACAUAGCCGACCUGAGCGGGUGGGCGGCCACCCUGGGACUGAGACACGGCCCAGACUCCUACGGGUGGCAGCCGUAGGGAAUCUUCGGCAAUGGGGGCAACCCUGACCGAGCAAGGCCGAGUGAGUGAAGAAGGUUUUCGGGUCGUAAAGCUCGGUUGUAAGUCAAGAACGAGUGUGAGAGUGGAAAGUUCACACUGUGACGGUAGCUUACCAGAAAGGGACGGCUAACUACGUG